CUAAUGGCCUACCAAGACGAUGACGCAUAACUGGUUUGAGAGGAUGAUCAGUCACACUGGAACUGAGACACGGUCCAGACUCCUACGGGAGGCAGCAGUGGGGAAUAUUGCACAAUGGACGAAAGUCUGAUGCAGCAACGCCGCGUGGAGGAUGACACAUUUCGGUGCGUAAACUCCUUUUAUAUAAGAAGAUAAUGACGGUAUUAUAUGAAUAAGCACCGGCUAACUCCGUGCCAGCAGCCGCGGUAAUACGGAGGGUGCAAGCGUUACUCGGAAUCACUGGGCGUAAAGAGCGUGUAGGCGGAUUGAUAAGUUUGAAGUGAAAUCCUAUAGCUUAACUAUAGAACUGCUUUGAAAACUGUUAAUCUAGAAUGUGGGAGAGGUAGAUGGAAUUUCUGGUGUAGGGGUAAAAUCCGUAGAGAUCAGAAGGAAUACCGAUUGCGAAGGCGAUCUACUGGAACAAUAUUGACGCUGAGACGCGAAAGCGUGGGGAGCAAACAGGAUUAGAUACCCUGGUAGUCCACGCCCUAAACGAUGUACACUAGUUGUUGUGAGGCUCGACCUUGCAGUAAUGCAGUUAACACAUUAAGUGUACCGCCUGGGGAGUACGGUCGCAAGAUUAAAACUCAAAGGAAUAGACGGGGACCCGCACAAGCGGUGGAGCAUGUGGUUUAAUUCGACGAUACACGAAGAACCUUACCUGGACUUGACAUAGUAAGAAUGAUUUAGAGAUAGAUUAGUGUCUGCUUGCAGAAACUUGCAUACAGGUGCUGCACGGCUGUCGUCAGCUCGUGUCGUGAGAUGUUGGGUUAAGUCCCGCAACGAGCGCAACCCUCGUCCUUAGUUGCUAACAGUUCGGCUGAGAACUCUAAGGAGACUGCCUACGCAAGUAGGAGGAAGGUGAGGAUGACGUCAAGUCAUCAUGGCCCUUACGUCCAGGGCUACACACGUGCUACAAUGGGGUAUACAAAGAGCAGCAAUACGGUGACGUGGAGCAAAUCUCAAAAAUGCCUCCCAGUUCGGAUUGUAGUCUGCAACUCGACUACAUGAAGUUGGAAUCGCUAGUAAUCGUAGAUCAGCUAUGCUACGGUGAAUACGUUCCCGGGUCUUGUACUCACCGCCCCCCGU
RNAcentral lists this ribosomal RNA (1128 nucleotides) under Aliarcobacter butzleri. RNAcentral describes it as "bacterial SSU rRNA". It matches the Rfam family "Bacterial small subunit ribosomal RNA", at positions 257 to 1400 of the family's 1533-position model. The record is from RNAcentral. Lineage: Bacteria; Pseudomonadati; Campylobacterota; Epsilonproteobacteria; Campylobacterales; Arcobacteraceae.